This is a long non-coding RNA of Periophthalmus magnuspinnatus, 1223 nucleotides long. RefSeq lists it as uncharacterized. The transcript is spliced from 4 exons. NCBI's taxonomy places the organism in Eukaryota, Metazoa, Chordata, Actinopteri, Gobiiformes, Gobiidae. The record is from RefSeq and is a predicted model, not a curated record.
GGAACCAGCACCAAAAAGAAGAAAGUUCUCCCCGGUUUGGGAGUACUUUGACCUCAUUACUGUCAAUAAGGAGAGAAGACUGAUCUCACUGAAGCAUUAAUUGCUAUGGCUGUGGAAGACUGCCUCCCGUUCUCCACUGUAGAGGGGAGUGGGUUCCAAAAAUGUGUAAAAUCAUGCAGCCCAUCUUAUGUUCUCCCACGCCAGGCCCUGAAAGCUAUGGUGGAUAAGAAAUAUAAUGAAAACAAGGAGAAGGCAAAAGCCACUGUGAGUGCAUCAUCUGCUGUGAGCUUAACAUCUGACAUGUGGACCUCCAUAAAAACUGAAGCAUUCCUCGCCGUCACUGCCCAUUUUGUUGAUGAAAACACUAAGUUGAAUUCUGUUGUUCUGGGUGUCACACACUUCCAUCACACUGCAUUGAAUUUGGCUGCUGUGUAAAAAACAUCUUCUACAGUGGGGCAUCAGUAACAAGGUCACCUGCUCAGUCACAGACGGAGCUGCCAAUAUGGCUGCGUGUGCACAAGAGAUGGGACUUAAGCAUGCCAUCUGUGUGGCACAUACUUUGAAUCUGUCAAAAAAGCACUUUCUAUGAAUGAUACGCUCUCAGAAAUAAGACACAAAGGCAGGAGGAUCGUUGGGUACUUUAAGAGCAGCACUACAGCAAAGGAGAGACUUUCACAGGUUCAAAGCCAAAUGGGUUGGCCAACUCUAAAACUUCUCCAAGAAGUGGAAACAGGAUGGAAUAGUUCUGACAACAUGUUGCAGAGACUUUUUCAGGAAAGGGAGCCAGUUGCUGCUGCCCUGGUUGGCUUGAGUAAGUCCGUGUUGUCCAGCGACAGUCCCAAAACAUCACUGCUCUAGAGGAGAUCUGCAGGAGGAAUGGACCAAACUACAGCAACAGUGAAAACCUCUGGAGACAGAAAACGACCUGUCACUGCAUCAAAGGGAAUAUAACAAAGUACUGAGUUGAACUUUUGACCAAAUACUUAUUUUACACCAAAAUUUGCAAGUAAAUUCAUGAAAAAUCCUUCAAUUUUAGAUUUUCUGGAUUCCAUUCUGUCUCUCAUAGUUGAAGUGAAACUAUGAUGAACAGGCCUCUCUCGUCUUUUUAAGAGGCAGAACUCGCACAACUGGAGGCUGAAUAAAUACUUUUUUGCCCCGCUGUAAAAUAAUUCACUACAGAAAUGUGUCAAUUGAUUUGAACUGCAGGAAAACAGGUUAAGUCA